Molecule: non-coding RNA, 29 nt
Filed under: Mus musculus (house mouse)
Lineage: Eukaryota; Metazoa; Chordata; Mammalia; Rodentia; Muridae
Source: RNAcentral
UACUAAUAAUGGAAUACUGUGAUGCUAAU